This 427-nucleotide ribosomal RNA is filed under the name uncultured bacterium. Its description in RNAcentral is "partial 16S ribosomal RNA". It matches the Rfam family "Bacterial small subunit ribosomal RNA", at positions 355 to 774 of the family's 1533-position model. The record is from RNAcentral.
UGGGGAAUAUUGCACAAUGGGCGCAAGCCUGAUGCAGCCAUGCCGCGUGUAUGAAGAAGGCCUUCGGGUUGUAAAGUACUUUCAGCGGGGAGGAAGGUGUUGUGGUUAAUAACCGCAGCAAUUGAUGUUACCCGCAGAAGAAGCACCGGCUAACUCCGUGCCAGCAGCCGCGGUAAUACGGAGGGUGCAAGCGUUAAUCGGAAUUACUGGGCGUAAAGCGCACGCAGGCGGUCUGUCAAGUCGGAUGUGAAAUCCCCGGGCUCAACCUGGGAACUGCAUUCGAAACUGGCAGGCUAGAGUCUUGUAGAGGGGGGUAGAAUUCCAGGUGUAGCGGUGAAAUGCGUAGAGAUCUGGAGGAAUACCGGUGGCGAAGGCGGCCCCCUGGACAAAGACUGACGCUCAGGUGCGAAAGCGUGGGGAGCAAACA